CGGCGUGACCUAACACAUGCAAGUCGUACGAGAAGUCGGCUUCGGCUGAUGAGUAAAGUGGCGCACGGGUGAGUAACGCGUGGAUAAUCUGCCUUGAGUGUGGAAUAACGUACCGAAAGGUGCGCUAAUACCGCAUAAUGCCUGGCAACACAAGUUGUCCGGCCAAAGAAGGCCUCUGUUUACAAGCUUUUGCUCAAGGAUGAGUCCGCGUACCAUUAGCUAGUUGGUGGGGUAACGGCCUACCAAGGCUACGAUGGUUAGCUGGUCUGAGAGGAUGAUCAGCCACACUGGAACUGAGACACGGUCCAGACUCCUACGGGAGGCAGCAGUGAGGAAUAUUGCGCAAUGGGGGCAACCCUGACGCAGCAACGCCGCGUGAGUGAGGAAGGUUUUCGGACUGUAAAGCUCUGUCGAGCGGGAAGAAAUGUACCAUGGCUAAUAUCCAUGAUAUUUGACGGUACCGCUAGAGGAAGCACCGGCUAACUCCGUG
Molecule: ribosomal RNA, 490 nt
Filed under: uncultured bacterium
Lineage: Bacteria
Description: bacterial SSU rRNA
Rfam family: Bacterial small subunit ribosomal RNA
Source: RNAcentral